Molecule: ribosomal RNA, 301 nt
Filed under: uncultured bacterium
Lineage: Bacteria
Description: partial 16S ribosomal RNA
Rfam family: Bacterial small subunit ribosomal RNA
Source: RNAcentral
CAGCCGCCGCGAGAAUACAGAGGGUGCAAGCGUUAAUCGGAAUUACUGGGCGUAAAGCGCGCGUAGGUGGUUUGUUAAGUUGGAUGUGAAAUCCCCGGGCUCAACCUGGGAACUGCAUUCAAAACUGACUGACUAGAGUAUGGUAGAGGGUGGUGGAAUUUCCUGUGUAGCGGUGAAAUGCGUAGAUAUAGGAAGGAACACCAGUGGCGAAGGCGACCACCUGGACUAAUACUGACACUGAGGUGCGAAAGCGUGGGGAGCAAACAGGAUUAGAUACCCGGGUAGUCCCUGUCUCUUAUAA